This 76-nucleotide transfer RNA is filed under the name Candidatus Mesenet longicola. Its description in RNAcentral is "tRNA-Val". It matches the Rfam family "tRNA". Rfam says of the family: Transfer RNA (tRNA) molecules are approximately 80 nucleotides in length. Their secondary structure includes four short double-helical elements and three loops (D, anti-codon, and T loops). Lineage: Bacteria; Pseudomonadati; Pseudomonadota; Alphaproteobacteria; Rickettsiales; Anaplasmataceae. The record is from RNAcentral.
GGGUGGUUAGCUCAGUUGGUAGAGCAUCUGGUUUACACCCAGGAGGUCGACAGUUCAAAUCUGUCACUACCCACCA